Molecule: ribosomal RNA, 253 nt
Filed under: uncultured bacterium
Lineage: Bacteria
Description: partial 16S ribosomal RNA
Rfam family: Bacterial small subunit ribosomal RNA
Source: RNAcentral
UACGUAGGUGGCAAGCGUUGUCCGGAUUUACUGGGCGUAAAGGAUGCGUAGGUGGAUAUUUAAGUGGGAUGUGAAAUACCCGAGCUCAACUUGGGUGCUGCAUUCCAAACUGGAUAUCUAGAGUGCAGGAGAGGUAAGCGGAAUUCCUAGUGUAGCGGUGAAAUGCGUAGAGAUUAGGAAGAACACCAGUGGCGAAGGCGACUUACUGGACUGUAACUGACACUGAGGCAUGAAAGCGUGGGGAGCAAACAGG